CCCUCCUAUCAAUGUCGUCCCAAUCUCGCAGCCUCUUCCUGUUAGAGCUCCUCUCCCUGUCCCUUGGAUCAUAUUGCCCUCUACUAGAGUACUGUCUCUCAUUUUUGUAACUGCUGGUAAUCCUAGCCUUUUUACAGUACCUUUCUUCACUAUCAAAGUCUCGUUCCCUUGGCCCCUCAAGACCGCCCUUAUUCCCAUUUUCCUUGACAGAAUUAUCCAACGAAUUCAACCUAUCUUCGGCCCUCCCAUCCAACGGAUUCGAUCCAUUAUCAAAAUUCACCACAAGCACCUUACUUUCAAAAUUGUUUUUAUUACUGCCAUUUAAUUGUAAUGAGGAGCUUUUUUCUCCAUUCGUGCAAAAUUCAACUGCCUCGUUCUUAAAGAGCCCUUCCCCAAUAUUACAAU
Molecule: unclassified non-coding RNA, 405 nt
Filed under: Hevea brasiliensis (rubber tree)
Lineage: Eukaryota; Viridiplantae; Streptophyta; Magnoliopsida; Malpighiales; Euphorbiaceae
Source: RNAcentral